UACGUAGGGUGCAGGCGUUAAUCGGAAUUACUGGGCGUAAAGCGUGCGCAGGCGGCUCCUUAAGUCAGAUGUGAAAUCCCCGGGCUUAACCUGGGAACUGCGUUUGAAACUGGGGAGCUAGAGUGUAGAAGAGGGGGGUGGAAUUCCAGGUGUAGCAGUGAAAUGCGUAGAGAUCUGGAGGAACACCGAUGGCGAAGGCAGCCCCCUGGGCUAACACUGACGCUCAUGCACGAAAGCGUGGGGAGCAAACAGG
Molecule: ribosomal RNA, 253 nt
Filed under: uncultured bacterium
Lineage: Bacteria
Description: partial 16S ribosomal RNA
Rfam family: Bacterial small subunit ribosomal RNA
Source: RNAcentral